GCUGCAUACUUGACUAAAACAUCAGCUACAUUAUUUCCUUCACAGUAACUCCAUUGCACACAUGGUGUGUUAUGAACAUUUGAAUGUAGGAGAUGGAUCAAGGGACGUGAGUUUGUCUCAAGAAUGGCAUUGCAUUGCUUAUUGCUUAUGUUGAGAGUAUGUAGGAUGCGGAGCCCAAAAGCAAAGCACACCUAAGUCUAGAAGGUCCAGGAUUUCCAAAUGAUGAACCAUCAAAAUUAACCUUCAACAUUCCUGAUGGAGGAUAUACCUAAUGAACAUCAACAUGCUUCGCCAGAAAAAUAUUAAAACUUUCAUACCUUUGUGCAUGUGGGGAAUCCAUGAGCUAAAGGAAAAGCUUGUGCUUGUCGAGCAUAAUGGAAAGUCUGCAAAUUGUCCAUUCCUGGGUGAAACAUGGAUGAUUGCGUGCGAUCUAGAUACACCACAAAGCAGAAGAGACAAGAGUUAUAAGAUUGUGUCCAUUAUGUAAACUGUCAAGAGUAGAAAAAUAAAUCGUGUAAUAAACUUGAUAAAUUUAAAAUUACUUUUGAGUUUGUGAAGCAAAGUUAAUUAUUUUUCAAGUAUCCCCACAAAUAUCAAAGAACUCCAUUAUAAAAAAGGGAUAUUACAAGUAUAAAUAAGUUGAUAGAUCACAUCGUAGCCAUCAAUAUUUUUGAAUCUUGUUGUAUGCGAAGGAAGUGAGAUUGGAGUAAUUAUAUUAAGGGAGUCACUAUAGCCGCCCCGAUGUAUCUUAAAUAAUAUAUAUGUAUCCUUAACGACCUUGAAACAUUUCUGUGUGUUCUUAUAGACUAUUAUUGUUGCACCAGGAACACCUCACAUCCAUUUUUAAAGCUAACAGAUCUAACCUAAGAGUCUAAGCUUUCGUAAUGGAGCUGCAACCUGCCUACUUCUCCUUCGUGUUCAUUCUCAUUCUCAUCCUAUUCCUAUUCAUGCUUUUGAAAGUGAAUAGGAGUGCAAAACCCCGUACCACAAAUUCUAAACUGCCUCCACAGCCAUGGAAGCUACCGAUCAUAGGCCACUUGCAUCAUUUACUCGGACUACCACAUCACAUCCUCAGGAAUCUAGCUCAAAAAUAUGGUCCUCUUAUGCUAUUACAACUUGGUGAAGUUCAUGCCAUCAUUGUUUCUUCACCAAAAGUGGCAAGAGAGAUAUUAAAGACACAUGACAUUGAGUUUGCAGACAGACCUGCACUUCUUGCUGGAAAGAUCAUGUCUUAUGAUUUUGUAGGUGUUUUAUUCUCUCCAUAUGGUCAGUAUUGGAGACAACUGCGAAAGAUUUGUUCCCAAGAACUCUUAAGUACAAAGAAGGUUCAAUCCUUGUGGUCAAUAAGGGAAGAGGAGGUAUCGAAUCUCAUUGAAAAAAUUUCCUCGGAAGCUGGAUUCCCUGUCAACAUUAGUCAGAAGCUUAAUUCAUUAGCAAAUGACAUAAUUUCCAGGGCAGCAUUCGGAAAGAAAUGCAAAGACAAAGAUGCAUUCAUAUCAUUGAUGCUGGCCGUGCUUAGAUUGGGUGGAGGUUUUGAAUUUGUCGAUUUCUUCCCUUCACUAAAAUUUUUACAUGGGAUCAGUGGAACAAAGAUAAAAUUACAGAACAUGCAUCAGAAGAUAGAUAAGAUCCUAGAAGACAUCAUUGAUGAUCAUAGAGAGAAUAGGGUGAGAAUUGAGUCAAAAGAAGGUGAAUAUGAAGAGGAUUUAGUUGAUGUCCUUCUAAGGAUUCAAAAUGACAGUGAUCUUGCAACCCCACUUGAAAACAACAACAUCAAAGCUGUACUUCUGGUCAGUGGUUAUUUAUAUUUCAGUUUUUUGUUUGUUUUGUAUGACUAAAUGAAUCAUUCCAUCAGUAAUCUUUGAUGUUCAAAGUGAUCAAGCUGUUUCCUUGACGGUAUAGGACAUCUUCUUUGGUGGAAGCGACACUGCAGCCAUAACAAUGGCAUGGGCAUUGUCAGAAUUGAUGAGAAACCCGAGGGUCAUGGUGAAGGCGCAAACUGAGGUAAGGCACGUCUUCAAUGGAAAAAGAAAGGUUGAACAAUCAGAUAUCAAUGAGCUGGACUACUUAAGGUUAGUUAUUAAGGAAACUCUACGGCUGCACCCUCCUACUCCAUUGCUACCACCAAGAGAAAAUAGAGAGAAGUGUGAGAUUGAGGGAUAUGAAAUACCCCGAAAAACCAAAGUCAUUGUUAAUAUAUGGGCAAUAGGAAGAGAUCCCAAAUUCUGGAGUAAUGCGGAAGAAUUUAUCCCAGAGCGGUUUGAAGAUCAUUCUAUUGAUUUCAGGGGAGCUAACUUUGAAUACAUCCCAUUUGGUGCUGGUAAGAGGAUAUGUCCAGGUAUGUCCUUCGGCUUAGCCAAUGUUGAACAUGGACUUGCUCAAUUACUGUACCACUUUGAUUGGGAUCUCCCUGAUGGUGUAAAGCCAGCAGAGCUAGACAUGACUGAAGUCUUCGGUGCAACAGUUAACAGAAGAGUCAACUUGAAGUUGAUUCCUACCCUUUACCGUCCUUUGGCUGUUGUGACAUGAGUCCAAUGUGUGCAUGUAAUAUCUGCAAACUUUUUUUUUUCUUUUGGUUUAAAAUGAAGUAUGUAGCAUUGUAUUUUUUUUUUUUUUUUUGGGCUUGGUACAGUAAGUAUUAAUGUAUUAAAAUGUACUGAAAGAUACAUGGGUUAAGUGGGUGGUCACAUAUACAGUAUAUCUACCCCUCACCUUAUAUCAAAAGGAGUUGGGGCAUUCCCAUUGGGUUAACCAUGUAGGUUUCCCAAUUACUAUCUCCAUGUCCUGUGUUGUUCUCCCUAAUGCCACCUUUGAUGUCUUAUCUGCCGCAAAAUUAGCCUCCCUCUAUGUAGGGGUACCAUAUGCAAUAUCUAAUUACAACACGACAUGUGGCAUACUAUUACUAUCAAUCAGGUCGCCCACAACAUGACCUUGCAUGACCCGACUAGAGCAGCUCGAGCAUAUUACCGUUGGCGACCUCAAUAUGGACGUGCGGUAAAUCAAUGUUCAGAAAAUAUCCUUGUUCGUUACACAUUAAUUACUAAAUAUCUCGUAAUUAAUGGAUGUCGGAGAAUCCGCAUGAUCCCAUGAUCUAUGCCCUUCCACAUUUUAUAAAUCUCACAAAACUACGGUGGCUUGAUCUCUACGCUCCACUCCCUCGAGCUAGAGUACGUAGGCAAUCUCGAUUUCACGAAGUGCAGCCACCUCCCGAUCUCAAACUCCUAUCUUGGUCAGCCUCCUUGCGACCUGACCCUGAUUAAUGCAUUAAUCUGGAAACAGGUUAAUACAUUUGGCGCCGACUGAAAGGAUUCAAUUGUAUCGAAAAACCAACCCUCCAACCCUCCAACCCAACUCGAAAUCCCAAGCAACUCUCCACUUAUCCAAUGGCCAACCAAGAAGAGAUUAUCCGAGAUCUAAGGAACCAACUCAAGGCCACUGCCAUCGACUUUGACACCAACAACGGUCAGGCUGGAGUCGUUACCAUAGAUAGCAAUAACCGCAAGUACGAGGAACUCAAUCAACAACUCGCUGAAUUCAAGGCCUCCCAGGACGGAAGCUAGCUUGGACGAGGUCGUAUGGCAGAACAACUCGCCAUUCAGUCUUUGUAGCACUUUCAGGAGUCCCCAUUCACCAAGAAAAUCAUGGAGCACGACCUACCAAGCAAACUCAAUGCACCAAAGUUCGACCAAUACUCAGGUGUAGGUGACUCAACAGAUCACGUCAAAAGCUUCUGCAAAUCGCUCCAAUUAAUCAAAGAAAACCAUCUCUUAUGCCUACUGUUCUAAUCCAGUCUUACUAGAUCGACUCUCUACUGGUUUCAUCGCCUUAAGCCAGGGUCAAUCGGCUCAUUCAACGAGCUCGAGAAGCAGUUCGUCAUCUUCUAUAUACACAACAAAAAAUGUCCAAUCACCAUCGACGCAAUGUUUAAGGUAAAUCAGGGAGAAGGAGAGUUGCUGAGUGAUUUUUUCGCUCGAUUUAAAAUUGAGCUACAUUCAAUCCAAGACUUUGCAAAAGACCACGAACAUUUUGCCACAAUAACAUUCUUUCACGGUCUGAUCCCUAGUCAUUGGCUAAGUAACGACCAACAUCUCUCGACGAAUUGUACUUGAAGGUAGAUUGCUAUAUCAAACUGAAGAAGCCUUGGUCGAAAAGAUUAAGAGCCACGUCAUAGCAAAUGUAGAAGGGGCCACCAAAAGCUCUCGAUCAGAAAAUAACAAAAGGUUCAAAGCUAAGCCACUGCCUACCGAGCAGCAGGAAUAUCACAGAUUUACAUGACCUGCGGGAUAUAUAUCUACCAGAGGAUCAAGCACCACCACUGGUGCAAGAUUCGAGAUUUCAUGUCACUAGAGGACACAGUUGGUCGUCCUUAUUGCAAAAUCCACAAGGUAAGAUGUCACCAAAUAGAUGAUUGUCGCAUACUGAAGCGACCUCUUCAAACAUGGGCUGAUGAGAAAAUGCUGAACAACUGGCUUUAUAACAGGCAGGAUGAGCCCGCAGAAAAGAAGAACAAAAAGAGGUCCAGAACUCCACCACGUUCUGAUCAACGAUCUCAAAGCAAGACCAGAGCUGUUUCUCCAAGUCGUUCACGCAAUAGAGGGCGUAGGCUAUCCAAAAGAUUAGGUCCCACUGGCGACCUACGCGAUCAAAUCAACAAGCAUGUAGCAAACAGAAUAGAAAAGGAUAAUGAAACAGAGAGUCAUGUCAUUUACAUGAUCUAUGAGUCCAAUUCUACACCAGUCCCGAGGGAGAAAAAGAGAUGUGUCGAACAUCUUCACCACGUCUACUCGAUCACAAGGCAAGCAACACGAACCAAUGUGCCUGCUCGACAGGAGACAAACCCGUGUUUCACAGAAGAUGACCUUAACAACGUCGUAGUACCACACAACGACGCUCUAGUCGUUGAAUUGAGAAUAAUCACUGUCAAGAAGGCCCUGAUCGACCCCGGUGCGUCUUAUAAAAUCUUGAUGUACAAGACCUUCAAGGAAAUGAGACUCCCUGACUCAGUUCUCCAGACUUCACUCCGAUCCUUGGAUUCAACAGUUCAAGGGAAGACUCAAAAGGGGAGAUAUUACUGCCCAUGACUGUUGGUAGAAAAAAAGAUAGAGUUACCCUCACCGGUAAGUUUAGGGUUCUGAACAUUGCGAGCAAGUACACUGCAAUUCUCGCCCGCAAAUGGAUCCACUCCAUGCGAGGAGUUCCAUCGACCUACCAUCAAGUCUUCCGUUAUCCUGGUCCCAAUGGAAGAAUGGAACUCAGAGGAAACCAGAAUGCAACACAAGAAUGUCAUGGCAUUAUAGAAGCUGUGACAAACGAAAAGCCAACGACCUUAACCAAUAAAGAGGUCACAACUCCAACCAAAGAUGCUGCCAAGGGAAAAGACGAGGCCACAUAUACGGCCAAAUAGCAAUCACAGAAGGAGCAAACGAGCUCCUCUUAACUCUCACUUGGAAGCACAGAUCCUGGCGUGUAAGUGAACCUGGGGUCAGAGGACGACCCCAAGUAUGUGUAUGUGGGCUCAGAAUUAGGAACAGAUAAGUACAAUGAAUUUUGUAAAUUUCUUUUCUCUUAAUAAAGAUGUUUUUGCUUGGUCGUACAUCGAUAUGCCGGGUAUAGAUAUUUCAAUUGCAUGUCAUAAGUUACGGGUAAACCCUAAUUAUCGACCCGUUAGGAAAAAGAUAAGGAAACUUGCACCUAAACUUCAUCAGGCCGUUAAUGAUUAAAUAAACAGACUCAAACAUGUCGUAUUCAUCAAAGAGGUCGGCACACCAGAUUGGCUAGCCAACAUAGUUUCAGUAUUGAAAAAGAAUGGGAAGACAAGAGUUUGUAUCGACGUCACAAGCUUGAAUAAAGCUUAUCGUAAAAAUUCUUUCCCACUUUUAUGAAUCGAUAGGCUAGUCAAUCAGACCUGCGGUUUCAAGCUCCUAUCAUUCAUAGACGUGUAUUCUGAUACAACCAGAUCCCAAUGUAUGAGUGAUAAUCAAAAUGACUAUCAAAAGCAUAUUUAUUAGUCCUUGUGCCU
This 6019-nucleotide long non-coding RNA is filed under the name Aquilegia coerulea. RNAcentral describes it as "long non-coding RNA (ACOE_LNC001523)". The record is from RNAcentral. Lineage: Eukaryota; Viridiplantae; Streptophyta; Magnoliopsida; Ranunculales; Ranunculaceae.